AGCAACAAUGCAUGUUUUCCGGUCCCCAUCUUUUUUAUUCAAAAAGGAAAGGAAAAAGGGGAUAUAACUGAAUCAGAUGUGGAAAGAGUCCCCCUUGGAUGCACCGAGCUUGUUAAACCCGUGCAGCCAUAGCCGAUCGUCUGCACUGUGUGUGAGAGGCGCUGAGGUUGACACAAUUGAAGCCAAAUAUGAAACGCUUGCAGCAUACCCUUAUGAACUGUGCCAGCGUGCGUGUGACGUGCGUGGUGUUGUGUGAUACCCCGGGGAACUGUGAGGGGACUGUCGGGUCUACACAGCGACGUCACACAGCGACGUCGGGGCUAAACGUUUUCUAAUUUGUCUCAUGCAAUUUGAAGAGGACGAAGAGAAGCAGAGAAAACAGAGAAGAUGGUGGGUUCGUGACUGGCUUCUGCGCAGAUCAAUCCAUGGUCAGUAUGACGCCCUGAUGGAAGACUUACAACUUGAGGAUCCUGAAGCUUUCGUGAACUUUCUGCCCUUGGACAUGGCCUUAUUACAUCAUUGCAGAUGAUGCCUUUGCCAUGCAGAGUUGGCUAAUGAAACCAUUCUCUCGACAGGGACUGGCACACGAUGAGCUAGUAUUCAAUUAUCGCCUUUCAAGAGCUCGCCGUGUUGUUGAGAAUGCCUUUGGGAUACUCGCAAACAGAUUCAGGUGCCUGCUUAGCACUCUCCAGGUUCAGGUUGAUACUGCAUCUUUGAUAGUGAGAAAGGGUGUGGUGCUGCACAACUACCUGAGAGAAAGGAACCCCUCCAAUGAUGUCAUGAUCCUGGACAAGGAAGAUGUGAACCACAACUUGGUACCUGGUGCCUGGCGGGACACAGCCAACUUGAAGGACAUGAAUCACACUUAUUGGGGUUAGCGUGACACAGUAUAGCCAAGAAGCAGCGGAUUUACCUGAAACAUUACCUUUGCUCACCCGCAGGGUCGGUUCCAUGGCAGGUUACACAUCUUCACGAAUACUGAAUCAUUGUUGAACGUCGAUUUUAAGGGCAAGGUGAAAACCAUGUUUUACUCUUUUAAGUUAAUGCAUUUGUACCAGCUUUCAUUAAAAUAUCAGACCUGUG
This is a long non-coding RNA of Haliotis rufescens (red abalone), 1083 nucleotides long. RefSeq lists it as uncharacterized. The record is from RefSeq and is a predicted model, not a curated record. NCBI's taxonomy places the organism in Eukaryota, Metazoa, Mollusca, Gastropoda, Lepetellida, Haliotidae. The transcript is spliced from 2 exons.